Long non-coding RNA from Armigeres subalbatus, 835 nucleotides. RefSeq lists it as uncharacterized. The transcript has 3 exons. The record is from RefSeq and is a predicted model, not a curated record. Lineage: Eukaryota; Metazoa; Arthropoda; Insecta; Diptera; Culicidae.
GGCAUCCAAAGGCAGGAGUAUGGCACUCCUGAAGCGAUAAGGAUUCGGAAUUAGGGUGUGUGUAAAUGCAAAAUGUUUACAAAGCUCUUUUUCGACUGGUUCGAAUAAAACUGGGAUUGAAUCGACAACUAUUAUACUGUUAAAACUAAAGUUGGAUUAAGGACUAAAAUUGAAAAACAGUGGAAGAAAUGAUAAGCAAUCAAAUACAGUUCGACCAUUAGUCCAGUCCAUUCGACCAGUUUAUGAAGGAACGCCCUAACAGGAACACGGACAAUGCAAAAUUCAAUAAAAGUCCAGCUCAAAUUGAGUGAACACCAGCCUUCCAUAAACCUCAGUAACUAGAGAUGGGGAGAAUAUGUGAACGCUGUGGUUGUUUCCCAAUUGCUCCAUUCGAAAAUUGAAGUUGCUGUUCAGAAAUCCCUUCUGGGCUGAAAAGAAUAACACAUCCGAAUGUUCUCCUCCGGCAAAGUUCACCAUAUCCAUCGGUAGUGGGUGGUUCUCCCAGCUCCAGCCACUACAACCACCAGACAAGCAGCGGGAUGCUCAGACAGAGACGAAAGCACCGACCGACAGAGCCCCCAAUCGAAGUGGGUUUCGUUCCUAUGUAGCUGCAUUCAUGGAGUCUGUUGUCGUUAUGGAAGCACACUUGACAAGCACGAGUAUUGCUCCGAUUGCAAUGGAAUACUUACAGCAUGAUGGGCCGGGCAUGGAUGGAGGAUGCAACUGUAUUAUUCAUUCCAGAUGAGUGCAAUUGCACUUGUGCUACGUACUUCCCCGAUCAAAACAUGAAUAAAAUUGGCAAAACUAAUUGAAACAACAUUUUUGCUCGUAGUUA